Drosophila virilis is the source of this 1293-nucleotide long non-coding RNA. RefSeq lists it as uncharacterized. Lineage: Eukaryota; Metazoa; Arthropoda; Insecta; Diptera; Drosophilidae. The record is from RefSeq and is a predicted model, not a curated record.
CAGGCGAAAAUAAGAAGAAAAACAUGUGAUACAGACUUUAACGUUCACGUGUAUGUGUGUGUGUGAGUGUGUCUGUGUGUGCCCGCAGUAGCUGCUAAUAGUUGAUUGACUUCUUUGGAGCGCCGCUGCUUGGGCAGCAAGAGGAAGGGAGAUAAAAAUGCCGCCUGCCUGUGUUAAGUGUUGUCAGUUUUCCUGGCAAUUGCCAGCAGAAUUGUUAGUUGUAAUUAUAACUAUUAAUGCUUAAGUCCCAAUACAACAAACAUUAGCAAACUUCUAACCGCCACUGUGUAUUGGGGCAGAAAAGGCAUCCGCGUCUGUGUGUUUGCAACACUCUAGUUAUCUCGUUUUAACGCACAUGGCAACGCAUUUGAGCAGUGUCGUCGAGCGCGCGCGCUUUUUAGUCAAAUGCUAGAAACGCUGGUUUGCUGUCUAGUGCUUUGCAUUUUGAGCAGCCGCAGCAUUUUAAUUAAUUGAAGUAUUUUUAAUUAAAUAAGCAGCCAGCAACAAUACAAUUUCCGACUGUGAUGGUGUGAGUAGUUAAGAUAGUAGCGGUGAGCGUGCGUGCGUAUGCCUCUCAGAGGCGCACACACACAUACAUGCAUACAUAUGUAUGUACAUACAUACAUACACAUGCGCACAAAAGCAUGAGUAAUGCUAGUGCAAAAUUUUUUCUUUCUGCACUAUCAGGCAGAGUUGCCUGCCCUUAAAUGCGAGAAAAUUCUUUAACGAAAAACAAAAUAAAUAAAAUGAGCAACUUAUUUGCAUAAAAACCAAAUAAAGAAAAAUAUUUGAAGUCUGGCUGCAGUCGCCGAUCGUUUUGUUUCUUCAGCGGCGACUACUUUUGCGCCAGUCACACAAUCGAUUCAUUCAUCGAUUUUUCACAGCACGGCAUGAUGAUGAUGACGACGUCGCCGCCGCCGCCUUGCUGCGCUGCUGCGCAACAAAAGCACAUUUUGAGUGGCGAUUAAAUUGAGCGAAAGGAACAAGAGAACAAGAAAAAGUUAAGGAUUUUCCUUAGAAAAAGUUUGACUUGGCAACAGAAAAGUUUUUACAAAAACAGCCCUUAGCAACGAUGUCAUUUCCCCCGCCGUCGCGCAGCCCCCUGCACGCCUAUCAACGAGCACUAAAUACACAAAAUUUCAACUUGAAAAUUCCCCCACCAUCCUAUAAAUUUUCUUUAAGAGUUCAGUACCUACAUAUACAAAUGUACAUAUAAUAUAAUACGCAACAAAUCUGGGUUUUUGCAAAAGCCAACUCAAUAACGAAAACCACGCGAAUUUUUGCCGGUAAAAA